AAAUAUAUAUAAAUACAAAAUAAAUCACCUUUGUAAUAUUAUAUUAAUAUGCCUAUUUAAAUAGUUAGAUACACAGUUAGAUAUAGUUCAAUAAACAAUUUGAGAAUAUUUUAUGACAUUCUUAUAAAUAUAUAUAUCAAUUUUAUCACUACCAAAUCAAAGAGCAAAACACAUAGAGAAAAAUUCAAAUAAGAACAAACGUAUUGUUUCAUUUAAUUCAUUACACCAUAAUAAAACCUAGGACCUCACAACAAAAAUAUACGGCACCAUUUGUAAGAGUUAAAUAGUAUUAAUAUUUUGGUGCGUAUAAAGUAAAGUAACGUUGUUUAUGUAUGUUUAUUAAUAGAUUGCAAUAUUUGGUAUAUGUACUAAUAAUUGGACAUAGUCAUGAUUAAAAAUAGUUAGAUGAUUGAUAUAAUAAUUAAAUUAAGGCCGAAAUAUAUGAAAGGUAAUUAAAAUAAAUUAAGGGGGAAUGUGAUCGUUAAGGAAAGUGGUAGUACAAUGCUAAUGUGGGAUAACAAUAACCCAAUAGGUUCAAAGGGUCACAAAGUGUGAGGUUUGAACAAAUUGGAUAAAUUGGUAUCACCGAAUUUAGAAUAAGGGUGAAAC
Non-coding RNA from Parasteatoda tepidariorum (common house spider), 609 nucleotides. NCBI's taxonomy places the organism in Eukaryota, Metazoa, Arthropoda, Arachnida, Araneae, Theridiidae. The record is from RefSeq and is a predicted model, not a curated record.